This 500-nucleotide ribosomal RNA is filed under the name uncultured bacterium. Its description in RNAcentral is "bacterial SSU rRNA". It matches the Rfam family "Bacterial small subunit ribosomal RNA", at positions 25 to 518 of the family's 1533-position model. The record is from RNAcentral.
CAGGAUGAACGCUAGCGACAGGCCUAACACAUGCAAGUCGAGGGGCAGCACAAGGAGCAAUCUGAGGUGGCGACCGGCGCACGGGUGAGUAACACGUAUGCAACCUGCCUGUAAGCGGGGAAUAACCCGUUGAAAGACGGACUAAUACCGCAUAAUACUAAAUUACUGCAUGGUAAUUUAUUUAAACAUUUAUGGUUUACAGAUGGGCAUGCGCAUGAUUAGCUAGUUGGAGAGGUAACGGCUCCCCAAGGCAACGAUCAUUAGGGGUUCUGAGAGGAAGGUCCCCCACACUGGUACUGAGACACGGACCAGACUCCUACGGGAGGCAGCAGUGAGGAAUAUUGGUCAAUGGACGAGAGUCUGAACCAGCCAAGUCGCGUGCAGGAAGAAUGUUCCCUAUGGAUUGUAAACUGCUUUUGCAGGGGAAUAAAGUGCAUCACGUGUGAUGUUUUGUAUGUACUCUGCGAAUAAGGAUCGGCUAACUCCGUGCCAGCCGCCGC